UACGUAGGGGGCAAGCGUUGUCCGGAUUUACUGGGCGGAAAGAGCGUGUAGGCGGCCAAACAGGUCCGUUGUGAAAACUGGAGGCUCAACCUCCAGACGUCGACGGAAACCGUGUGGCUAGAGUCCGGAAGAGGUGAGUGGAAUUCCUAGUGUAGAGGUGAAAUUCGUAGAUAUUAGGAAGAACACCAGUGGCGAAGGAGGCUCACUGGCCCGGUACUGACGCUGAGGCGCGAAAGCGUGGGGAGCAAACAGG
This 253-nucleotide ribosomal RNA is filed under the name uncultured bacterium. RNAcentral describes it as "partial 16S ribosomal RNA". It matches the Rfam family "Bacterial small subunit ribosomal RNA", at positions 524 to 776 of the family's 1533-position model. The record is from RNAcentral.